This 233-nucleotide unclassified non-coding RNA is filed under the name Hevea brasiliensis (rubber tree). Lineage: Eukaryota; Viridiplantae; Streptophyta; Magnoliopsida; Malpighiales; Euphorbiaceae. The record is from RNAcentral.
UUAGAAAUUUUGGAUUUAGAUUUUUUUUCUUUACCUGAUCAAGGUGAGGUUGUGUUCCUGGCACAUGCUGAAGUUUUUUCUGCAAACUUAUUCCAGAGAGACUAUCAAAGGCAUGAAGAUCUAAUACAUUAGAGAGAUCAACUCUUGAUCUUUGUGUUUCUAAGAUUUGUCCUAGUCCAUUUAUGGAUCUAAUUGUCGUUCUUAAUUUCUUUACAUCUUCUUCUGGAACCAAG